UACGUAGGGCGCAAGCGUUGUCCGGAAUUAUUGGGCGUAAAGAGCUCGUAGGCGGCCUGUUGCGUCCGCUGUGAAAUCCCGGGGCUCAACCCCGGGCGUGCAGUGGAUACGGGCUGGCUGGAGGCAGGCAGGGGAGAACGGAAUUCCUGGUGUAGCGGUGAAAUGCGCAGAUAUCAAGUGGAACACCAGUGGCGAAGGCGAGUCUCUGGACAUUUCCUGACGCUGAGGCACGAAAGCCAGGGGAGCAAACGGG
Molecule: ribosomal RNA, 253 nt
Filed under: uncultured bacterium
Lineage: Bacteria
Description: partial 16S ribosomal RNA
Rfam family: Bacterial small subunit ribosomal RNA
Source: RNAcentral